Molecule: transfer RNA, 80 nt
Organism: Moniliophthora roreri MCA 2997
Lineage: Eukaryota; Fungi; Basidiomycota; Agaricomycetes; Agaricales; Marasmiaceae
Rfam family: tRNA
About the family: Transfer RNA (tRNA) molecules are approximately 80 nucleotides in length. Their secondary structure includes four short double-helical elements and three loops (D, anti-codon, and T loops). Further hydrogen bonds mediate the characteristic L-shaped molecular structure. tRNAs have two regions of fundamental functional importance: the anti-codon, which is responsible for specific mRNA codon recognition, and the 3' end, to which the tRNAs corresponding amino acid is attached (by aminoacyl-tRNA synthetases). tRNAs cope with the degeneracy of the genetic code in two manners: having more than one tRNA (with a specific anti-codon) for a particular amino acid; and 'wobble' base-pairing, i.e. permitting non-standard base-pairing at the 3rd anti-codon position.
Source: Rfam
UCCAAUGUGGUGUAGUGGCUAACAUUGCUGUCUUUCAUGUAAGAGCACAGCAGCCCGGGGUUCGAUUCCCCGCAUUGGAA